Molecule: ribosomal RNA, 140 nt
Filed under: uncultured bacterium
Lineage: Bacteria
Description: partial 16S ribosomal DNA
Source: RNAcentral
CCAGUCUGAUCGAGCACGCGCGUGAGCGAUGAGCUCGGGUGUAAGCUCUGUCUGAGGGAGACGGCUCGGGUGGCCCCGAGUAUGACGGUGCCUCAGGAGGACCCCCGGCUAACUACGUGCCAGCAGCCGCGGUAAUACAA